Molecule: ribosomal RNA, 769 nt
Filed under: Bombylius sp.
Lineage: Eukaryota; Metazoa; Arthropoda; Insecta; Diptera; Bombyliidae
Description: 12S ribosomal RNA
Source: RNAcentral
UCAUUCUAGAUACACUUUCCAGUACAUCUACUAUGUUACGACUUAUCUUGUCUUAAUAACAAGAGUGACGGGCGAUGUGUGCAUAUUCUAGAGCUAUAAUCAAAUUGAUAGUAUAGACAAUUUUACUAUUAAAUCCAUCUUCAUUCCAGGGUUACACCCAAAAAUCCGCAAUAAAUAAAUUUAUUGUAACCCAUUAAAACUUAAACAUAAACUGCACCUUGACCUGACAUAAAUUUUAUAUUCAAAUUACAGAAAAUUAUAAUUCUAAAGAAAUAUUCAAUAACGGCGGUAUACAAAUUGAAAACAAGUUUAAGUAAGGUCCACCGUGGACUAUCGAUUACUCAACAGGUUCCUCUAAAUAGACUAGAAUACCGCCAAAUUUUUAAAGUUUCAAGCACAUAACUACUACUACUCAGGUAUAGAGAGGAACAUAUUUAAUAAUAGGGUAUCUAAUCCUAGUUUAAACUAAAAAUUUUAUAGCUUCAAUAACCUUAAAAUAUAACUAUUUAAAUUUUAAAAUUUCACCUAAAAAAAUUAUAGUUAAUUAUAGUAAACUGUACAUUUAACCACUAACCAAUAAAAUUUAAUUGAGUCCUCUGUAUAACCGCGGCUGCUGGCACAGAUUUAGCCAACCCUAAAUAAAAAUACUAUUUCUAAAAUUACUUAAUUAAUAAUAUUAAUUACUGCAAAACACCUACAUUUAGUAAAUACAAAAAUUUACAUGUAAAAUAAUUUAUAAAUAAAUUUUUAAGCCAAAAUAAAACUUUAA